ACCUCGGACAGGUCGAAUGGUCAGUAUGCAAGCUUGUCACGCUUGAGACCUGGGUUCAAUUCCCCGCGGGAUG
This 73-nucleotide transfer RNA is filed under the name Fusarium graminearum PH-1. RNAcentral describes it as "tRNA-Asp". Lineage: Eukaryota; Fungi; Ascomycota; Sordariomycetes; Hypocreales; Nectriaceae. The record is from RNAcentral.